GUUCGUCACGUCGGAUGUGAAACUCUGGGGCUUAACCCCAGACCUGCAUUCGAUACGGGCGAGCUUGAGUAUGGCAGGGGAGUCUGGAAUUCCUGGUGUAGCGGUGGAAUGCGCAGAUAUCAGGAGGAACACCGAUGGCGAAGGCAGGUCUCUGGGCCAAUACUGACACUGAGGAGCGAAAGCGUGGGGAGCGAACAGGAUUAGAUACCCUGGUAGUCCACACCGUAGACGGUGGGCGCUAGUUGUGCGAACCGUUCCACGGUUUGUGCGACGCAGCUAAGCGCAUUAAGCGCCCCGCCAUGGGGAGUACGAUCGCAAGAUUAAUACUCAAAUGACUUGACGGGUCCCCGCACAUAGCAGCGGAUGCAUGCGGCUAACUUCGACGCAACGCGUAGAACCUUACCAAGGCUUGACAUAUACAGGAAUAUGGCAGAGAUGUCAUAGCCGCAAGGUCUGUAUACAGGUGGUGCACGGUUGUCGUCAGCUCGUGUCGUGAGAUGUUGGGUUAAGUCCCGCAACGAGCGCAACCCUCGUUCUGUGUUGCCAGCAUUAAGUUGGGGACUCACAGGAGACUGCCGGGGUUAACUCGGAGGAAGGUGGGGAUGACGUCAAAUCAUCAUGCCCCUUAUGUCUUGGGCUGCACGCAUGCUACAAUGGCUGGUACAAACGGCUGCGAUACCGCAAGGUGGAGCGAAUCCGAUAAAGCCAGUCUCAGUUCGGAUUGGGGUCUGCAACUCGACCCCAUGAAGUCGGAGUUGCUAGUAAUCGU
This 769-nucleotide ribosomal RNA is filed under the name uncultured bacterium. RNAcentral describes it as "bacterial SSU rRNA". It matches the Rfam family "Bacterial small subunit ribosomal RNA", at positions 578 to 1345 of the family's 1533-position model. The record is from RNAcentral.